RNAcentral lists this ribosomal RNA (253 nucleotides) under uncultured bacterium. RNAcentral describes it as "partial 16S ribosomal RNA". It matches the Rfam family "Bacterial small subunit ribosomal RNA", at positions 524 to 776 of the family's 1533-position model. The record is from RNAcentral.
UACGUAGGGGGCGAGCGUUGUCCGGAAUUAUUGGGCGUAAAGAGCGUGUAGGCGGUUCGGUAAGUCUGCCGUGAAAACCUGGGGCUCAACCCCAGGCGUGCGGUGGAUACUGCCGGGCUAGAGGGUGGUAGAGGCGAGUGGAAUUCCCGGUGUAGCGGUGAAAUGCGCAGAUAUCGGGAGGAACACCGGUGGCGAAGGCGGGUCUCUGAGCCGAUACUGACGCUGAGGAGCGAAAGCGUGGGGAGCGAACAGG